This is a long non-coding RNA of Gopherus evgoodei (Goodes thornscrub tortoise), 129 nucleotides long. RefSeq lists it as uncharacterized. The record is from RefSeq and is a predicted model, not a curated record. Lineage: Eukaryota; Metazoa; Chordata; Testudines; Testudinidae. The transcript is spliced from 2 exons.
CCCAACCAUUCCCAGUCUCUGUUUAAGCCUGAUUAAUUGGAUCUAAUUUGCACAUUAAUUCGAGUUCAGUAGUCUCUCUUUGGAGUCUGUUUUUCAAGUUUUUUUGUUGCAAAAUUGCCACCUUCAAGU